GGGAAACAGGCAGAGGGGCCAGCCCCGGGCCCUGAUACAAUACGGGGCA
Molecule: non-coding RNA, 49 nt
Organism: Pongo abelii (Sumatran orangutan)
Lineage: Eukaryota; Metazoa; Chordata; Mammalia; Primates; Hominidae
Source: Rfam